CUUGAGUACAGUAGAGGUGGGCGGAAUUCGUGGUGUAGCGGUGAAAUGCUUAGAUAUCACGAAGAACUCCGAUUGCGAAGGCAGCUCACUGGACUGCAACUGACACUGAUGCUCGAAAGUGUGGGUAUCAAACAGGAUUAGAUACCCUGGUAGUCCACACAGUAAACGAUGAAUACUCGCUGUUUGCGAUAUACAGUAAGCGGCCAAGCGAAAGCAUUAAGUAUUCCACCUGGGGAGUACGCCGGCAACGGUGAAACUCAAAGGAAUUGACGGGGGCCCGCACAAGCGGAGGAACAUGUGGUUUAAUUCGAUGAUACGCGAGGAACCUUACCCGGGCUUAAAUUGCAGUGGAAUGAUGUGGAAACAUGUCAGUGAGCAAUCACCGCUGUGAAGGUGCUGCAUGGUUGUCGUCAGCUCGUGCCGUGAGGUGUCGGCUUAAGUGCCAUAACGAGCGCAACCCUUAUCUUCAGUUACUAACAGGUCAUGCUGAGGACUCUGGAGAGACUGCCGUCGUAAGAUGUGAGGAAGGUGGGGAUGACGUCAAAUCAGCACGGCCCUUACGUCCGGGGCUACACACGUGUUACAAUGGGGGGUACAGAAGGCAGCUAGCGGGUGACCGUAUGCUAAUCCCAAAAUCCUCUCUCAGUUCGGAUCGAAGUCUGCAACCCGACUUCGUGAAGCUGGAUUCGCUAGUAAUCGCGCAUCAGCCACGGCGCGGUGAAUACGUUCCCGGGCCUUGUACACACCGCCCGUCAAGCCAUGGGAGCCGNNNNUACCUGAAGUACGUAACCGCAAGGAUCGUCCUAGGGUAAAACUGGUGACUGGGGAUAAGUCGUAACAAGGUAACCA
RNAcentral lists this ribosomal RNA (849 nucleotides) under uncultured bacterium. RNAcentral's name for it is "bacterial SSU rRNA". It matches the Rfam family "Bacterial small subunit ribosomal RNA", at positions 641 to 1502 of the family's 1533-position model. The record is from RNAcentral.